Non-coding RNA from Paralichthys olivaceus (Japanese flounder), 610 nucleotides. Lineage: Eukaryota; Metazoa; Chordata; Actinopteri; Pleuronectiformes; Paralichthyidae. The record is from RefSeq and is a predicted model, not a curated record.
GAGAAGUCAAAGAUGGCUGUGUUCCAGUUUCUGUCUUUUCCUCUAGGUGACUCAGACAGCCUGCACUGGAUGUCCAACUUGUCGAGACAGAACUAGAAUUUAACAAGACCGAACACUGAGAGUCAUCACUUCAGCAAUGACUGCAGACUGAAACAGUUGGGAGCUGUACUGAGGUAAAGAUAGAAGAUGAGGAAGAGGAGGAAAAGCAAGCAGGGGCAGACUAUCUGUGAGGGACAUAUGAGGGAGAGUUCCCAAAGCAGCAGCGGUGAGGAGGAGAGACUGAACCACUGGGACCAGACUAAAGCUACGGAGCUAAUAUCAGUUACUGACUUCAGAGACACCACUGAAAAAUUAUUAUAUGAAAACUGUAUAGGGAUAGUAUGUUAAUGGUAUAUUUUGACUUGUAAACCUGUUAUUGAUUUACGUGUGGGAUAAAAGAAACCAUUACAGCCUACAACCCCUGAUCCCUGCUAUUACCAUAUAGUCAACAUAAUAUAGUGUAAAUAAUAAAGUCUUAUCUGUGUUCUCCGUUAUGUUUUCAGACACUUAUUCAAGAAAUGAAUCUGGAAACACACAGGGAGCUGACAGCGGCAGGAAUGGUGACCCACCU